UAGGGAAUCUUCCGCAAUGGGCGAAAGCCUGACGGAGCAAUGCCGCGUGAGUGAAGAAGGCCUUCGGGUCGUAAAACUCUGUUAUAAGAGAAGAACAAAUUGUAGAGUAACUGCUACAGUCUUGACGGUAUCUUAUCAGAAAGCCACGGCUAACUACGUGCCAGCAGCCGCGGUAAUACGUAGGUGGCAAGCGUUGUCCGGAUUUAUUGGGCGUAAAGGGAGCGCAGGUGGUUUCUUAAGUCUGAUGUGAAAGCCCACGGCUUAACCGUGGAGGGUCAUUGGAAACUGGGAAACUUGAGUACAGAAGAGGAAUGUGGAACUCCAUGUGUGGCGGUGGAAUGCGUAGAUAUAUGGAAGAACACCAGUGGCGAAGGCGACAUUCUGGUCUGUUACUGACACUGAGGCUCGAAAGCGUGGGGAGCAAACAGG
Molecule: ribosomal RNA, 429 nt
Filed under: Acidobacteriota bacterium
Lineage: Bacteria; Pseudomonadati; Acidobacteriota
Description: Acidobacteria bacterium partial 16S ribosomal RNA
Rfam family: Bacterial small subunit ribosomal RNA
Source: RNAcentral